Molecule: ribosomal RNA, 373 nt
Filed under: uncultured organism
Description: partial 16S ribosomal RNA
Rfam family: Bacterial small subunit ribosomal RNA
Source: RNAcentral
GUAGGUGGCAAGCGUUGUCCGGAAUUAUUGGGCGUAAAGCGCGCGCAGGCGGUUCUUUAAGUCUGAUGUGAAAGCCCACGGGCUCAACCGUGGAGGGUCAUUGGAAACUGGAGAACUUGAGUACAGAAGAGGAAAGCGGAAUUCCACGUGUAGCGGUGAAAUGCGUAGAGAUGUGGUGGAACACCAGUGGCGAAGGCGGCUUUCUGGUCUGUAACUGACGCUGAGGCGCGAAAGCGUGGGGAGCAAACAGGAUUAGAUACCCUGGUAGUCCACGCCGUAAACGAUGAGUGCUAAGUGUUAGGGGGUUUCCGCCCCUUAGUGCUGCAGCUAACGCAUUAAGCACUCCGCCUGGGGAGUACGGCCGCAAAGGCUG